This 119-nucleotide ribosomal RNA is filed under the name Brachypodium distachyon (stiff brome). Lineage: Eukaryota; Viridiplantae; Streptophyta; Magnoliopsida; Poales; Poaceae. The record is from RNAcentral.
GGAUACGGUCAUACCAGCACUAAAGCACCGGAUCCCAUCAGAACUCCGAACUUAAGCGUGCUUGGGCGAGAGUAGGACGAGGAUGGGUGACCUCCUGGGAAGUCCUCGUGUUGCAUUCU